GCCGAAGUGGAGGAACGGUAGACUCGCAACGUUCAGGGCGUUGUGGCCGAAAGGCCGUGAGGGUUCAAAUCCCUCCUUCGGCA
This 83-nucleotide transfer RNA is filed under the name Candidatus Limnocylindria bacterium. RNAcentral describes it as "tRNA-Leu". It matches the Rfam family "tRNA". Rfam says of the family: Transfer RNA (tRNA) molecules are approximately 80 nucleotides in length. Their secondary structure includes four short double-helical elements and three loops (D, anti-codon, and T loops). Lineage: Bacteria; Bacillati; Chloroflexota; Candidatus Limnocylindria. The record is from RNAcentral.